This 82-nucleotide transfer RNA is filed under the name Planctomycetota bacterium. Its description in RNAcentral is "Planctomycetes bacterium tRNA-Leu". It matches the Rfam family "tRNA". Rfam says of the family: Transfer RNA (tRNA) molecules are approximately 80 nucleotides in length. Lineage: Bacteria; Pseudomonadati; Planctomycetota. The record is from RNAcentral.
GGGCCCGUGGCGAAAUCGGCAGACGCAGCGGACUUAAAAUCCGCGGCCGCAAGGCAUGCGGGUUCAAGUCCCGCCGGGCCCA